RNAcentral lists this ribosomal RNA (465 nucleotides) under uncultured bacterium. RNAcentral's name for it is "partial 16S ribosomal RNA". It matches the Rfam family "Bacterial small subunit ribosomal RNA", at positions 28 to 507 of the family's 1533-position model. The record is from RNAcentral.
GACGAACGCUGGCGGCGUGCUUAACACAUGCAAGUCGAACGGUAAGGCUCCAGCUUUCUGGCGUACACGAGUGGCGAACGGGUGAGUAACACGUGGGUGACCUGCCCUGCACUUCGGGAUAAGCCUGGGAAACUGCGUCUAAUAUCGGAUAGAACAGCACCGAGAGGGUGGGUUGGAAGGUUGUUUCGGUGUGGGCUGGGCCCGCGGCCUAUCCGCUUGUUGGUGGGGUAAUGGCCGACCAAGGGGGCGACGGGGGGCCGGCCGGGGAGGGGGGACGGCCACAUUGGGACUGAGACACGGCGCAGACUCCUACGGGAGGCAGCGGUGGGGAAUAUUGCGCAAUGGGCGGGCGCCAGAUGCAGCGGCCCCGCGUGGGGGAUGACGGCCUUCGGGUUGUAAACUCCUUUCUACAUCGCCGAACGGUUUCUGACGGUAGCUGGAGAAAAAGCACCGGCUAACUACGUG